UUGAGACGCGGCAUACGGCUCAGUAACACAUGGUUAACCUACCCUCAGGACGGGGACAAACCCGGGAAACUGGGGCUAAUACCAGAUAGGCGAAGACGCCUGGAAUGGUUCUUCAUCCAAAGGACUUUGGAAGCAUGCUUUCAAAGUCGCCUGGGGAUGGGGCCGCGUCCGAUCAGGUUGUUGGUGAGGUAACGGCUCACCAAGCCUAUAACCGGUACGGGCCGUGAGAGCGGUAGCCUGGAUAUGGGCACUGAGACAAGGGCCCAGGCCCUACGGGGCGCAGCAGUCGCGAAAACUCCGCAAUGCACGAAAGUGUGACGGGGCUACCCCGAGUGCCGUCCGCUGAGGAUGGCUUUUCCUCAGUGUAACUAGCCGGGGGAAUAAGGAGAGGGCAAGACUGGUGUCAGCCGCCGCGGUAAUACCAGCUCUCCGAGUUGUAGGGACGAUUAUUGGGCUUAAAGCGUCCGUAGCUGGCUUAGCAAGUCUCCUGUUAAAUUCAGCGACCUAAUCGUUGAACCGCGGGAGAUACUACUAGGCUAGGAGGCGGGAGAGGUCUACGGUACUUUCGGGGUAGGGGUGAAAUCCUAUAAUCC
Molecule: ribosomal RNA, 593 nt
Filed under: uncultured archaeon
Lineage: Archaea
Description: bacterial SSU rRNA
Rfam family: Archaeal small subunit ribosomal RNA
Source: RNAcentral